Molecule: long non-coding RNA, 269 nt
Filed under: Gossypium barbadense (sea-island cotton)
Lineage: Eukaryota; Viridiplantae; Streptophyta; Magnoliopsida; Malvales; Malvaceae
Description: long non-coding RNA (GBAR_LNC007891)
Source: RNAcentral
UCGGGAGUUUUCAUUUUCUGUAAGGUGGGUUUUUCCUUCCGUGAUGGAGGGUUGGUGUAAUUGUGAAAUCUAUUUCUUUGCGAUUAUUUUGGUGUACGAGAAGGCGUUGAACUGUGAGUUUUGCUCCGUUUGCUUGAACGGUGUUAGCGGUGGUUUUAUCGUCGGUAAGUCGAGUUUUUGUCAGAUAUUGUUGAAAAACUCGUAAGUUAGCCGCUAAUUCAGUGUUUAAUAUUCUAUUUUAGGUGCUGGUGGUCUCGGGAGUGGUUUUG